GAUGAACGCUGGCGGCGUGCCUAAUACAUGCAAGUCGAGCGAACGGACGAGAAGCUUGCUUCUCUGAUGUUAGCGGCGGACGGGUGAGUAACACGUGGAUAACCUACCUAUAAGACUGGGAUAACUUCGGGAAACCGGAGCUAAUACAGGAUAAUAUUUUGAACCGCAUGGUUCAAAAGUGAAAGACGGUCUUGCUGUCACUUAUAGAUGGAUCCGCGCUGCAUUAGCUAGUUGGUAAGGUAACGGCUUACCAAGGCAACGAUGCAUAGCCGACCUGAGAGGGUGAUCGGCCACACUGGAACUGAGACACGGUCCAGACUCCUACGGGAGGCAGCAGUAGGGAAUCUUCCGCAAUGGGCGAAAGCCUGACGGAGCAACGCCGCGUGAGUGAUGAAGGUCUUCGGAUCGUAAAACUCUGUUAUUAGGGAAGAACAUAUGUGUAAGUAACUGUGCACAUCUUGACGUUACCUAAUCAGAAAGCCACGGCUAACUACGUG
Molecule: ribosomal RNA, 497 nt
Filed under: uncultured bacterium
Lineage: Bacteria
Description: partial 16S ribosomal RNA
Rfam family: Bacterial small subunit ribosomal RNA
Source: RNAcentral